The sequence is a regulatory RNA element, 120 nucleotides long. It matches the Rfam family "Ribosomal protein L10 leader". From Rfam's summary of the family: This family is a putative r-protein leader autoregulatory structure found in B. subtilis and other low-GC Gram-positive bacteria. It is located in the 5' untranslated regions of mRNAs encoding ribosomal proteins L10 and L12 (rplJ-rplL). The record is from Rfam.
GUCAAGUUAAUAAUUCUACCUAAGACUCAGGUGGCUAACGCCUUAAAUUUAUGCCUGCCGAGGAGUAAACGUAUCUCUCUCUGUGUCUUGGUGUGGACAUAGAGCUUUUUAUUUAUAAAA